This 377-nucleotide ribosomal RNA is filed under the name uncultured organism. RNAcentral describes it as "partial 16S ribosomal RNA". It matches the Rfam family "Bacterial small subunit ribosomal RNA", at positions 527 to 897 of the family's 1533-position model. The record is from RNAcentral.
GUAGGUGGCAAGCGUUGUCCGGGAAUUAUUGGGGCGUAAAGCGCGCGCAGGCGGUUCUUUAAGUCUGAUGUGAAAGCCCACGGGCUCAACCGUGGGAGGGUCAUUGGAAACUGGAGAACUUGAGUACAGAAGAGGAAAGCGGAAUUCCACGUGUAGCGGUGAGAUGCGUAGAGAUGUGGAGGAACACCAGUGGCGAAGGCGGCUUUCUGGUCUGUAACUGACGCUGAGGCGCGAAAGCGUGGGGAGCAAACAGGAUUAGAUACCCUGGUAGUCCACGCCGUAAACGAUGAGUGCUAAGUGUUAGGGGGUUUCCGCCCCUUAGUGCUGCAGCUAACGCAUUAAGCACUCCGCCUGGGGAGUACGGCCGCAAAGGCUGA